CGCGGCCUAUCAGCUUGUUGGUGAGGUAACGGCUCACCAAGGCAUCGACGGGUAGCUGGUCUGAGAGGACGAUCAGCCACACUGGGACUGAGACACGGCCCAGACUCCUACGGGAGGCAGCAGCAGGGAAUAUUGCGCAAUGGGCGAAAGCCUGACGCAGCAACGCCGCGUGGGGGAUGAAGGCCUUCGGGUUGUAAACCCCUUUCAGGAGGGAAGAAAUUGACGGUACCUCCAGAAGAAGCCCCGGCCAACUACGUGCCAGCAGCCGCGGUAAUACGUAGGGGGCGAGCGUUGUCCGGAAUUAUUGGGCGUAAAGAGCUCGUAGGCGGCUCAGCAAGUCGGCCGUGAAAACCUGAGGCUCAACCUCAGGACGCCGGUCGAAACUGCUGUGGCUAGGGUUCGGUAGAGGAGAGUGGAAUUCCCGGUGUAGCGGUGAAAUGCGCAGAUAUCGGGAGGAACACCAGUAGCGAAGGCGGCUCUCUGGGCCGACACCGACGCUGAGGAGCGAAAGCUAGGGGAGCAAACAGGAUUAGAUACCCUGGUAGUCCUAGCCGUAAACGUUGGGCACUAUGUGUGGCGGAUUCAUUGACAUCUGCCGUGCCGUAGCUAACGCAUUAAGUGCCCCGCCUGGGGAGUACGG
Molecule: ribosomal RNA, 640 nt
Filed under: uncultured Actinomycetes bacterium
Lineage: Bacteria; Bacillati; Actinomycetota; Actinomycetes
Description: bacterial SSU rRNA
Rfam family: Bacterial small subunit ribosomal RNA
Source: RNAcentral